AACCAUUCUUCGACCUCAUCUGGAUCAUCUGGGUCAUCUGGAUCAUACCUGAUGACCCAGAUGAACGGAUGUCCAGCUGCCUCGAGCCCUUUUCCGAUCUCCUUCAACUGAAUCACCGAGAUCAUUGUCAUGCUACCGAGGCUGAAAUAAACCACCGAUUUCGGAGCCAUAGAAUCUAGAAAAUCUAGAAUCUUAUCGUCGUCUACCAAGGAUCUUGAUCCUCGCACUGCCUUAUCUUCAAUCUCUUUGUUGCAUAAUGAAACUGGUCCGACUGGCCAGAUUUUCUUUCCGGUCAUCUUUCUAUAUCUACGAAGAAGAAGAAGGUCAAAGCAACGAGAACAUGAAGUAUAGCUCAUAGUUAGAGAGAGUACCUUUCGAUGAACAUUGGUUCCAAUUCAUAAAAAGUAUUAACGAGAAUCCCAUCUGCACUUUCGUCGGAAUCCAUAACUUCCGACCGCAUGUAUUCGAAUUCCGGCAGUGGGAAAAACAUAUUUUCCGUCAGACGUGGAACUUCGAGAUCAGAAAUCGCAUCAUCGGCACCGCUCAAAUCACCCCGACUGAAUAUCCUAUCGGAAAUCAAUGUGUAACAACAGACACUGUAAAACACAAACCUCGGAAACCCAAUUUUUUCCGAAAUCUUCCGUGUCCAUGGAUUGAAGAAAUCCGUUAUCAUUAUCGUCGGAAUGUUCGGAUUCUUCUGCUGAUUCUGCCGGAUGUAAGCUUCAAGUGGUUCGGCCAACAUAGCAACACCUUUAAAGAACCGAACUAUAAAAUCAGUUUUUCUUUCAAAAUCCGACGAUGGUGGUAGAACAUCCACGCUCUCACAGUCUUUCGGCAAACCAACCUCUUUUCCCGGAAACUUCAGCGAGAUGAAAUCGAGAGAUAGACCGGAUUUACCGAUCCGAUCUACUGUAGAUUGCAAUCUAGAAAGGUUGAAAGGAGUGGUUAUAAGACUGACCUGCAUACCACGUCCGGCGAGCACCCGUCCAAAGUCGACCAUCGGGAUUAUAUGACCUUGCGCCGGAAACGGAACAAGAACAAAGUGACCCACAUCUCCGUCCAUGGCCAAACGACUUCAGUCUUCAGCUCACCUGCUUCUGUUUAUAAUUUUUUGAAUCAUUCCGCAUAUCAACUUUGCGUCAUACAUGUAUUAUUGUCUUUUGCAGUACAUUAUUUUUCGUCGUACAUGUAUUAAUGUUUUUUUUACAGUAUAUUAUUUUAACCAUUAGAUUAAAUAUUAAUAAACACGAUUUGAUCCGUGAUAACUAAAUAUAUUUAAACACACAUGAUCACAUAAGAUUGUACUUGUUUAAGGCUAAAUGAUUCUUUAAUAUUUUAUCAUCUCCUCAUGAUUUUUGAUCUUCGGAUGGGGGAGAUUUUAGAAAAGUUGAAGAUCAAGGGUGACAAUUUGUGGCGGCACGACACGACACGUUUUAUUUUCGCAAGAUGGGUUUUUGAAGGAAGAGUGAUAUGUUCUUGUGAGACGAUCCACCGAUUUCGAAAGAUGUUUUUGCCGCCUCACUCAAAUCCAACACUCUCUUCCUCAUUUCCUCUCCAUUAUCAAUCACCUUCACCAAAAUCGGCGUAGGAAUCGGCGUCACGGUGUAAUUCUGCAAGAAGACGGUCUCUGUGACACCGAUUCCCACGCCGAUUUUCGCAACUUCCGUUAUGAAACUGGCGUUGGCGAAUUGAUCGGCAAAACAAGGCCAUGUGAUCAUUGGAACUCCGAAGGAGAUGCCCUCGAGCGAUGAGUUCCAACCGCAGUGCGUGAAGAAAGCUCCAGUGGAUGCAUGUGAGAGUAUCAGGAUUUGAGGUGCCCAUCCUCUUAUGAUCAGUGACCUCAUCUUCGUCCUCUCUUCUAAUCCAUCUUCUCUCAACCAUUUUUCGAUCUCAUCUUCUAAACUUUUUUCCCCAUACCUGAUGACCCAGAUGAACGGAUGUCUAGCUGCUUCGAGCCCUUUUCCGAUCUCCUUCAACUGAAUCACCGAGAGCCUAGUGAUGCUACCGAGGCUGAAGUAAACCACCGAUUUGGGAGCCAUAGAAUCUAGAAAAUCUAGAAUCUUAUCGUCG
RNAcentral lists this long non-coding RNA (2070 nucleotides) under Zostera marina. RNAcentral describes it as "long non-coding RNA (ZMAR_LNC005793)". Lineage: Eukaryota; Viridiplantae; Streptophyta; Magnoliopsida; Alismatales; Zosteraceae. The record is from RNAcentral.